RNAcentral lists this ribosomal RNA (253 nucleotides) under Phocaeicola coprophilus DSM 18228 = JCM 13818. RNAcentral describes it as "partial 16S ribosomal RNA". It matches the Rfam family "Bacterial small subunit ribosomal RNA", at positions 524 to 776 of the family's 1533-position model. Lineage: Bacteria; Pseudomonadati; Bacteroidota; Bacteroidia; Bacteroidales; Bacteroidaceae. The record is from RNAcentral.
UACGGAGGAUGCGAGCGUUAUCCGGAUUUAUUGGGUUUAAAGGGAGCGUAGACGGGUUUUUAAGUCAGCUGUGAAAGUUUGGGGCUCAACCUUAAAAUUGCAGUUGAAACUGGAGACCUUGAGUACGGUUGAGGCAGGUGGAAUUCGUGGUGUAGCGGUGAAAUGCUUAGAUAUCACGAAGAACCCCGAUUGCGAAGGCAGCCUGCUAAGCCGCCACUGACGUUGAGGCUCGAAAGUGCGGGUAUCAAACAGG